RNAcentral lists this ribosomal RNA (460 nucleotides) under uncultured bacterium. RNAcentral describes it as "partial 16S ribosomal RNA". It matches the Rfam family "Bacterial small subunit ribosomal RNA", at positions 338 to 795 of the family's 1533-position model. The record is from RNAcentral.
CCUACGGGAGGCAGCAGUGAGGAAUAUUGGUCAAUGGGCGAGAGCCUGAACCAGCCAAGUAGCGUGAAGGAUGACUGCCCUAUGGGUUGUAAACUUCUUUUAUAUGGGAAUAAAGUGUACCACGUAUACGUUUUUGUAUGUACUAUAUGAAUAAGGAUAGGCUAACUCCGUGCCAGCAGCCGCGGUAAUACGGAGGAUCCGAGCGUUAUCCGGAUUUAUUGGGUUUAAAGUGAGCGUAGGUGGAUUGUUAAGUCAGUUGUGAAAGUUUGCGGCUCAACCGUAAAAUUGCAGUUGAUACUGGCAGUCUUGAGGACAGUAGAGGUGGGCGGAAUUCGAGGUGUAGCGGUGAAAUGCUUAGAUAUCACGAAGAACUCCGAGUGCGAAGGCAGUUCACUGGACUGCAACUGACACUGAGGCUCGAAAGUGUGGGUAUCAAACAGGAUUAGAUACCCCAGUAGUC